UACAUGACGUCUCUGCCGGUACAUGGGC
RNAcentral lists this small RNA (28 nucleotides) under Bombyx mori (domestic silkworm). RNAcentral describes it as "ovarian small RNA-20414". Lineage: Eukaryota; Metazoa; Arthropoda; Insecta; Lepidoptera; Bombycidae. The record is from RNAcentral.